This 262-nucleotide long non-coding RNA is filed under the name Elaeis guineensis (African oil palm). Its description in RNAcentral is "long non-coding RNA (EGUI_LNC005647)". Lineage: Eukaryota; Viridiplantae; Streptophyta; Magnoliopsida; Arecales; Arecaceae. The record is from RNAcentral.
GUAUGCAAAGGACUUUGCCGAAAUGCUAGCUUAAAUAAAAAAAAAUAUGUCAAUACUGAGGAAGCCUAUGAGCUACAUGGUACCCUGAUCGAGACAAGAGCCAAGAAAAAAAGAGAGGAGGAUGAAGACAGGAGGAGCUCACUAAGGCAAGAAGAUCACCAGUGGGGUCUAUGAUGAUUAGGACUCCACCUCGGAACUGACAUUUCAGAACCCCACAUCGGAGCCGAUGAUAGAGGACUCCUCUUAGAGAUUGGUGACAUAU